AUUGAACGCUGGCGGCAGGCCUAACACAUGCCAGUCGAGCGGAUGAAGGGAGCUUGCUCCUGGAUUCAGCGGCGGACGGGUGAGUAAUGCCUAGGAAUCUGCCUGGUAGUGGGGGAUAACGUCCGGAAACUGGCGCUAAUACCGCAUACGUCCUGAGGGAGAAAGUGGGGGAUCUUCGGACCUCACGCUAUCAGAUGAGCCUAGGUCGGAUUAGCUAGUUGGUGGGGUAAAGGCCUACCAAGGCGACGAUCCGUAACUGGUCUGAGAGGAUGAUCAGUCACACUGGUACUGAGACACGGUCCAGACUCCUACGGGAGGCAGCAGUGGGGAAUAUUGGACAAUGGGCGAAAGCCUGAUCCAGCCAUGCCGCGUGUGUGAAGAAGGUCUUCGGAUUGUAAAGCACUUUAAGUUGGGAGGAAGGGCAGUAAGUUAAUACCUUGCUGUUUUGACGUUACCAACAGAAUAAGCACCGGCUAACUUCGUG
This 484-nucleotide ribosomal RNA is filed under the name uncultured bacterium. Its description in RNAcentral is "partial 16S ribosomal RNA". It matches the Rfam family "Bacterial small subunit ribosomal RNA", at positions 30 to 507 of the family's 1533-position model. The record is from RNAcentral.